This is a long non-coding RNA of Dromaius novaehollandiae (emu), 5286 nucleotides long. RefSeq lists it as uncharacterized. The record is from RefSeq and is a predicted model, not a curated record. The transcript is spliced from 3 exons. Lineage: Eukaryota; Metazoa; Chordata; Aves; Casuariiformes; Dromaiidae.
GGCUAAGCUUCCCUGACCAGUAAGUGGACAGACCACCUAGGCCAGUGAGGAUACUCCAGUGGGAUCUGAUUAUCGUUCAUCUUGGAGGUGACAAUGACUGAUCGGCCACUUUCGCAGAGUACUGCCCGGCAGCACGCAUGACUCCUGGCACCUCUUGAAAAUGAGGAAGGGGGAGGAACCUAACCCUCAAGUCGUCGGAGCUGCUGUAUUUCUUUGAUGCUCUCCAAUUCAUAUUCUAUCCAAAAGGAGCAGAAACUGUUCCACAAAGUUUUCAGCCAUUAUGAUGAAGUGCAGUCACCUCUGGAAAGGACCAUGGAAGCUCUUUGAGAGCUAUAUUAUACAGUGCUAUAGCAGAGAGUUGAAGAAAAACAAAAUCACAUGCCCAUCAGAAAUUGCAAAGGGGAGAUUAGGGAGAAGAAGGUGAUUACUCAAAGUGGAAAAUAAUAGAAGCAACAGUCAAUUCCUCCCUAAGCAAGUUGGAGAGGAUGAAUGGCUACACAUGGACAGACUCUGGAUAUUAUGUUUUAUAGCAGAAAUUUUCAUCCUGGAUCAUGGAAGUUAGGGAAUGCAUAGACGUUUUCUAAGAGGUCUGAGAAAGAUAACAGGGAAAAGCUAGCCAACUGUAGGGAGCUUAUACUACAUUACCCACUUCCAACAGGCAAAGCUUUGGGGGCCCUCAGAUCAACAUAGGGUGAAAGUCAGUGUUUUUUUCCCAAACAGGUCAUGCCAAGCCAGCCAGCCCCCUUCAGCACCACGAGGUGGGGUUAGUCCAGCAUAGAUCUGCUGCCGACAAAUGCCAGGUAGUGAAUAAUAAUUGCAGUCCCAUUUCCUGCAGCAAUUUCUCCAUAGAGCUUUCUUAUUGACCCAGUGCAGUUUAGCUUGUGAGAUGUGAUGAAAUCAUAGCCAGAGGGUUUAUGGCAGUGGCUGCAGGCUAUUAAAGCUCAGAUGCCAUCCUUAACUUGUGCUGUGGGCUCUUCUUUAUUCGUGGCAUGACAGCCAGAGGAUGAGGUGUCAGGCGUAACAGUAACGUUUCUUGGCACCCAUUGGUUUGUAUUGCUCACAAAACUUUGCCUUAUUUAGGAGACGAUUUGUGUAUUUAUAAUUAAUAUGGAUUAGAUAUUAUUAUCUAUGCAAUAUGGCAGGCAAGCAGUUUUGAGAGGCUAACAGCUGUUCAAUAAUGCAAAUGAUGCACACAUAAAUUACAGUUUAGUAAUAGGAUAUUAUUACCAACACACACAAAAGUUCAGAACCCAGGGGUGACAAAUAUAAAUAACCACGAUAUGGAAACUUUCCCAAGCUUUCCCUAGACAUGCAGCUGAGGUGCAGGGAACAGACCCAGGCACUGGUUCCUCCAGUACUCUGCAACUGGUGUCACUGUUCACGUCAGUUAUGAGUGAAUGGAAAAACAGCACAGCUGGUCUCAAAGCAGCCAUCUAAGCUUUCUGUGCUUACUACCAGCCAAAAAAACCUCCCAGUGCUCUGUUGGCACCUGGAGUUUUUAAAGAAACACAUCAGAUUUGACAAAUAUUUAGUUGGGAAGGUUGGUCGGUUCUGAAAACGAGCCUCCUCCUGAGGAAGGCAGUGGCUGAGUGACCCACUCUCCAAUUUUUUCCAGUCUCUGCUACGGUUUACUCUUUUCCUUGCCAGCACAGGCAUACCCAGCAGUACGUACCCAGGACUGGCAUUUCUGGCCUUCGGCUGCCCUCCUCCUUCUGCCUUCCCUUUUACAGAGGUGGGAAACACAAAUUCAAGCUCCCCUGCUUCAGAACAGGGACGCAAAUCCUGUCCUGUUCUACUAAAGUGAUCUGGGCUAGUUAAGUGGGAGGUAUCUCUUGUUUGUUUGUUUGUCUAUGAGAAAUUUUGAAAUGUCUUUUUAUUUUGUUUUCAUUGCUGUAAUGUCAAACCAAAAGCAAGUGUUGAGGUGCCAGUAUUUAGAGGUGAAGGAAGUUUUGUUCACCAGCCAGCCUUAGUACAUUACAGUAACAAGGAUGUGCAGAAGAGCUCUCUACCACUCUCUCCUGGACCUCAUCAAGAGAGGUACUCAAUGGCUAUAAGCUAACACCAGAUUUCUUCUUCUUCUUCUUCUUCACGUUUAAGUCUACAAUACAUGCAGGUUUCCUUGGAUAUGUCCUCUUUUUCCACCCCAAAACUUUGUCUGGCAGGAACCCAGGGGAUUUGCCAGGAUGGCUGGCUAUUUUUCUGCUCGAUGGGGACAGUUGCUGUGGUGCCGACUGAACUGAGGGGCAGCUGGAAACCCCAGUGUGCUCAGGAGUAGCCGCCAGACCCUCCUGUGCAGGAGGUAAGCUAGACCCGGGUCAAAGCAACAGGCCUUCCGUGUGUGCAGUAAAUCUGAGGCGUUCUGGACGUGGUGCACCACCGCUGGAUGACCUACCUGGGGCAUCGCACGUAUUUCUCUCUAGGAAGUUCUGGAUGCAAAUACAGGCACUCUAUUUUUCACUCCAGUCAGAGACUUCUGAGACUCUGAACCCAGAGUUCAAGCCUUGCUGCCAGCAAAAUGCCGUAAGCAUAAGGCGUUCCCCGAGAUUCUGGCACGGUUGUGUCUUCAGAGCCCAUGGCGCUUUUCUCAAACCUUGCUCAGAGCUGCCUCAGCAGCAGCACCCUGUCAAGACUGCCAAAAGCUUCAGCUGGAGGCUGUAGCUUAUGAAACACCCCAGCCAGGCAAUUUUCAAGAAACCAAGACUCCCGCUGAGUCUUUUGUCUUCAGGACACUUUAACCCACCAACACCAGGGCCCAAUUCAGGAAAAGCAGGCCCUCCUCAGAGCUGUGGGAGUACGACCUGCACUAUAAGCACCUGAGUAGUAUCUGAACAGAGAUGAGGGAAGUAAGAAGCUGCUUUCCUUAAUCCAAGCCUAAAAGCAGAGCACAGAGAGGACUUAUUCAUCUCUUCUGAUGAGAGCCAGCCCCACAGCUGGGAAGUCCUGAGAGAAGUAAGAGUGAGGCACAGAAAGCACUGCAGCUCUGGCAUAGCCUCCAAAACACAGGCUAUGAGUGGGGCUUGGCACAAGCACUGUAACAGCUCCUCUUGCGGUUGUUAAGCCAGUCUAACUAUGUAAAAUAUACUGACAGGAGUCCUGUUAACAAAGCAAAUCCAAAUCGGCUCCUCUGCCAAGAUCCCAGUAAAAAGCAAAGGAUUGAGAAAGAAGCAGGACACCACAAAAAGGCUUUGAUUUUGCACUUCCAAAUCAGCUUUCACACAGAAGAAGAUAACUGGAGAUUUUAAAUGGGGUGAGAGAGAAGAGGGGAACAGCAGAAACAUAAAAGCAGGCAAAAGUAAAUAAAAAUUGCACAUGUCCUCAGGUCUAAAUUUGCACAAGACACUCAUAUAUCUAGAAAUCUCCAUGAGCCAGAAGCUCAGCCAUUGCCCAUUUCCUUCACUGAAUCCACCUGCAAGGUAGUUUAACAAAGGUACAGUACCCCCAGACUCCUGCCUCUGGGCAACAGAUAAAAUUCACAGGUCCCUUUUCCAACCCAACCUGUAAUUCUGCCUUCAAUGACAAUGCCUGACAGAGGGAAAAGCACGGCAUUGCCCCAGUACCGUAAAUAAGGCUGAGAUUACUGGCAACGUAGAAUAGGACUGACUAUUGCAAUAUUUAAUCUUCAGGGUGGGCAAUUCAUUAAAACAGAUAUCUAGGGGUUUAAUCACUCUGCCAGGCUGCCAUCUGCUUCCCUCAUGCUCCCUCCUGGCUCAGGCCAGGUCUCGAUAUAUGAGGGGACAGCUUGUGAGAGGCACAUUGGGGGCCUGUGUCAUAAUUCAUCUUGUGAGCACAACAGAGCAAGCUGUUUGGUGCUGUGAAUCCCUACCAGAUGCAUGCAAACACGAUGAACCUGCUUCUGCACUGAGAGGGGAACUGGAAGAGCAUGGUGAAAGGGUCCCAAGGUUUGGUUUGGCCUCUGGGACUAGGUUGGGAAUGGAAGGGGCCAUGUCAGCAGGGAUUAUAGAAAGCAUCUGGAAAUACUUACAGAGAUGCUAUUCACAGAUAUGAAAUCAAUUCUUCUCAUCAGCUUUCUUGCUGUGAUUUUUCACUGACACCAGUCUUCUCCUCCAAAACCUGUGCUCCUCUACCUCCCUUGGACUUUGUCCUAUGUACAACCUUAGAAACAACAUUCCCACCUUCCAGGUCAUUUCCUCAACAACUGAAAAAUAGGCCUUCUGGUUGCUCCAAGGGGGUCUAUACUCAAUUUAAUAGUAACCUUCAGCUGGUGGGCAAGACCUAUCUGGACCUUUGUGCCCAGUCUGAUAGGACCUAGGUGGGGUUUGGCUCUGAAACUUCUUCUCAGCACAAACCUGCUCUUUUUCAGCACAUUGGCAACCAGCAAGCCAAGAAAGACAGGGCCAACAUGGGCUGCUUGCUCACCUUGCCAGGUAGUCAGCAGGAGAGUACUGCGCUAUGUGGAGAAGAUCCAGUCCAGGGAUAAAGGGGGAAAAGGGCAGGAAUGUUUCCCUGAACUGGAGAUCUGAGUCCAACAGUUAGUAAGGAUUUGGAAUUUACCCCAAAUGAAUUAGCUCCAUCCCUGGCUGCAGACCUUGCAGGCAGUGAAAGAUAAUUCCUUUUCAGGCACUGGAAAAAUGUCCCUACCCAGGAGGGUGGGGAUUCGUUGGAAGGGUUCCUUCAAAGCAGCUCGCACUAAUGCUGGCUGUUUUGUGCCACUGAUGGCUAGAUGACAUCUGCUCUGCAGGGUGAACCUGAGAGGAAGAAUGAUGGAGUGAUGGCAGCUGUUUGUCGUGUGAAGGAUCUGACCUCAUUUCCUGCCUCUGCCAUAGCUUCCACUUCUUGUCUUCGCCCAGAUCCACAAAGUGUCCGUUUUUUAUUUAGGUGUGUAGGUCCCACAGAACACCACGGGACCUAGAGAGGACUAUGAAUGCCUACAAGAUGCCUAUGAAGACGUAGGUUUCAUUCCUUGAUUCCUUGCUUGCAAGAUGCCAUCAUGAAUCUGACUGUCUCGUCUACUUAGUAGUAUCUCCAGGGUAUGGACUCUCCCUGUUGUUAUGUGACUGAAAAGUACCUACCACCAUCCAAACGGUAGAUGAUUUUAACUGUAAAAAAAAAAAAAAAGUCAGUAAAUCUACUUUUUCAUGUGUUAAAUGAACUCACUAAAUAAAUAUUAACACAAAGAACAAACAAAAUGAAGCAGUACUCACCUAACCCUUUCUUAUCAACAGCAAUACAGGAGGAUUUUUAAAUCCCUCCAAAAAAAAAAAAAAAAAAAAAAAAGGAAAAAGGAGUUAUAGGAAACAACAUAAUAAAGAGCUAUUUUUUAAUGAA